This 191-nucleotide ribosomal RNA is filed under the name uncultured Burkholderiales bacterium. RNAcentral describes it as "partial 16S ribosomal RNA". It matches the Rfam family "Bacterial small subunit ribosomal RNA", at positions 141 to 334 of the family's 1533-position model. Lineage: Bacteria; Pseudomonadati; Pseudomonadota; Betaproteobacteria; Burkholderiales. The record is from RNAcentral.
GGAUAACGUAGCGAAAGUUACGCUAAUACCGCAUACGAUCUACGGAUGAAAGUGGGGGACCUUCGGGCCUCAUGCUUUUGGAGCGGCCGAUAUCUGAUUAGCUAGUUGGUAGGGUAAAGGCCUACCAAGGCGACGAUCAGUAGCUGGUCUGAGAGGACGACCAGCCACACUGGAACUGAGACACGGUCCAG